RNAcentral lists this ribosomal RNA (856 nucleotides) under Trigonidiinae sp. DPM-2011. RNAcentral's name for it is "bacterial SSU rRNA". It matches the Rfam family "Eukaryotic small subunit ribosomal RNA", at positions 917 to 1774 of the family's 1831-position model. The record is from RNAcentral. Lineage: Eukaryota; Metazoa; Arthropoda; Insecta; Orthoptera; Trigonidiidae.
UUCUUGGAUCGUCGCAAGACGAACUGCAGCGAAAGCGUUUGCCAAGUAUGUUUUCUUUAAUCAAGAACGAAAGUUAGAGGUUCGAAGGCGAUCAGAUACCGCCCUAGUUCUAACCAUAAACUAUGCCAUCUAGCGAUCCGCUGUGUGUCUUAGAUGUCACGGCGGGCAGCCCCCGGGAAACCGAAGAUUUUGGGUUCCGGGGGAAGUAUGGUUGCAAAGCUGAAACUUAAAGGAAUUGACGGAAGGGCACCACCAGGUGUGGGGCCUGCGGCUUAAUUUGACUCAACGCGGGGUAUCCUACCAGGCCCGGACACUCGAAGGAUUGACAGAUUGAGAGCUCUUUCUUGAUUGGGUGCGUGGUGGUGCAUGGCCGUUCUUCGUUGGUGAGGCGACUUGUCUGCUUAAUUGCGAUAACGAACGAGACUCUAGCCUGCUAACUAGUCGGUACCGGCAUCCUAUGUGCAGCCGGCGACAAUAUAUCUUCUUAGAGGGACAAGUGGUAUCUAGCCACACGAGAUUGAGCAAUAACAGGUCUGUGAUGCCCUUAGAUGUUCUGGGCCGCACGCGCGCCACACUGAAGGAAUCAGCGUGUGUAAUUCCUUGCCUGAGAAGGUCGGGUAACCCGGUGAAAUCCCUUCGUGCUAGGGAUUGGGGCUUGAAAUUUUUCCCCACGAACGAGGAAUACCUAGUAAGCGCGAGUCAUAAUCUCGCGUUGAUUAUGUCCCUGCCCUUUGUCCACACCGCCCGUCGCUACUACCGAUUGAAUGAUUUGGUGAGGUCUCCGGACUCGUGCGCGGCUCUCGGUACUUGUAUCGAGAAUCGAUGUCGCGGGAAAGUUGACCGAACUUGAUUAUUU